This 460-nucleotide ribosomal RNA is filed under the name uncultured bacterium. Its description in RNAcentral is "partial 16S ribosomal RNA". It matches the Rfam family "Bacterial small subunit ribosomal RNA", at positions 338 to 795 of the family's 1533-position model. The record is from RNAcentral.
CCUACGGGUGGCAGCAGUGAGGAAUAUUGGUCAAUGGACGAGAGUCUGAACCAGCCAAGUAGCGUGAAGGAUGACUGCCCUAUGGGUUGUAAACUUCUUUUAUAUGGGAAUAAAAUGUUCCACGUGUGGGUUUUUGUAUGUACCUUAUGAAUAAGGAUCGGCUAACUCCGUGCCAGCAGCCGCGGUAAUACGGAGGAUCCGAGCGUUAUCCGGAUUUAUUGGGUUUAAAGGGAGCGUAGGUGGAUUGUUAAGUCAGUUGUGAAAGUUUGCGGCUCAACCGUAAAAUUGCAGUUGAGACUGGCAGUCUUGAGUACAGUUGAGGUGGGCGGAAUUCGUGGUGUAGCGGUGAAAUGCUUAGAUAUCACGAAGAACUCCGAUUGCGAAGGCAGCUCACUGGACUGCAACUGACACUGAGGCUCGAAAGUGUGGGUAUCAAACAGGAUUAGAUACCCUAGUAGUC